Long non-coding RNA from Panicum virgatum (switchgrass), 3538 nucleotides. RefSeq lists it as uncharacterized. The record is from RefSeq and is a predicted model, not a curated record. NCBI's taxonomy places the organism in Eukaryota, Viridiplantae, Streptophyta, Magnoliopsida, Poales, Poaceae. The transcript is spliced from 3 exons.
CGGCGGCGGGGGAUCGCGACGCCCAGGGGUCGCGACGCACGGGGUAGAUGGAUUUGGAUGGAGGGUAUACACGUCUAUACGGGAAAAAUACGAGGAGUUGUACCCUGCGGGUGGGCCUCAGGAGAGGAAAGAGGUAUCCUAAUGGUAUAUCUCUAAUAUGGUGAAUUGUAAUAGUAUAUUUCCAACUCCUGAAAGUUGUAAUGGAGAAGGUUGCCAAGGCGGCAGCGGCACCAGUGACAAAGGAGGAGGUCGGGCAAGCCACGUGGAUGUUGCUACGCACCAUUGCAACGCAGGUGCUCGAUUUUUGCCUCUGUGAGUAGCAUAACACAGGUUUGCUUUUGAAGAUGUUUUUUGGUUCACAUUAUGGAUUAUGGAAAAACUGUAAAUGGAAGGCAGAAAUUAUUCAUGUAUCAUGAAUAUUUUGUUUUGAUACAAAAUCAGUUCACCAUUUGCAUAACGAGGCACAUAAUCAGUUCACCAUUUGCUUUUGAUACAUAUUGAAUUAUUGAUCUGUGUACCAGGGGGAUGUGGAAGGGAAUAACUUAUAUGGUUCAUGAGUUUCUUUUGGAUAUCAUUAGCUAUCAAAUUCAAUUCCUACUAAAUAUGUGGCUUGUUUCAGUUACUGAGUUUCAUAACAUAGAUUUGCCGUGGAUCAUCAUUUGCUUAUUGCCUAAUAAAUCCAGUGUAUGUAUAUGCAUACAAAUGGAAUUGGUUCCCUAGAUGGUAUUCAUUGUAUAUCUUUUCCUCAUGUUCCAAUCAAAUUUGUAGAGCACCACUUAGGUGAUUGAAAAAGGAAAUAAGCUUUGGUGGCAAGGUGAAUCACAUAAUCAAGCUAACUAUGACUUUCUGGAGCUGUUCUUUAUUUUCUUCUUUUCUUAUUUUGCAACAAUAGCUUCUUUUUGUUCUUUGCAGACCAUAGAUGUUUAAUAAUGAUCUAUCAGUGAAAAGAUUUGUGGCCUUCGGUACUGCUAACUAAGGACGGUAUGUAUGAUAUAUUGUUUACUUUCAUUUGCUUCCCAUCACUUCAAUCUGCUUCUGAAGAGAAAGAGCCCUUGUACAGAAUCCAGUGAGAAAGAGCCCUGGUACAGAAUCCUGGGACUCAUAUACAGUUUAAAUAUGAAAGGGUAACUGGUGUCUAUCACUUUGUAGUCAGAUAGCGUUUAGAACUACUGGAGCAUAAAUGCUUAUAUAUAUAUACACCUCGUAUGAGAUGUCCUGGUUUCCUGCUUAUUCAACAUAGUUUUCCUAGAAUACAAAAUAACCACUAUACUGGUUGGUUUCUUAGUAUAACCGGUAAUAACUUCUUUACUAAUGCUCAUACUACAGUCUGUUGUCGACAAAGAACGAAGAGGAGAUUACCUGGGAAAACUGUUCAGGUUGUGCCACACAUCACAGAUGAAAUACAACAGUUGAUGGCACAGAAGAGCCAGCUGAUGUCUGUGUCAUCGAACUUGGUGGCACAAUAGUUAAAAAGCCAUUCUGUAUCAUAUCAGCCAAUUGCGAAGUAGCAUAUUACUUUUGCUCAAUCGUUCCCAUAGAUGCAAGCAUUCCGGUGCCGGAGAUAAAAUAUUUUCGCCACAUAACAACAGUGGCAUUCUUGAUGCAGGAGACAUUGAAUCAAUGCCUUUCAUUGAAACAUUAGGCCAUUUUUCAUAUCGUGCUGGUAAGGAAAUUGUAAACUCCCAUAAUUUUCUUUUUUCUUUACAUAUUUUAAAACAUAAGAAUGUUGCUUCAGUGUUCAUUUUUUAUAUCGAUCGAUUGAGGUUGUCAGUGUGCCUACGGAUUAUUGCACAUUAAUGGAUAAAGAUGCAAGGAAAUUAUGCAUUUUAGUUUAACCUGAGGGGGGGACUUAGAGGUUGGUGUGCUCUUGGUCUUUUUAUCAGGAUGCAACUGUGUGGUAGUGCAUUUCAUUUGAGAAUUGCAUCUUGAGUAGAGUAGAGACCGGAUUUCUAUCCUUCACCUAAAAAGGAUAAAUCGGACUGGGUGAUGGGGGGUUUACCAUGAUGAUUUGGUCUGGGAGUGUGGGGUUGCGCAGUGGCGAUAGUGCCGGCGGUGCGCCAGCAGAGCCUUCGGGGGAUUGGUUGCGUGUGGUGUGAGGACUAGGAGGAGUUGGGGAUUUCGAAAGGUUGCUACUGCAUAGUGAUGUUUAUCUCGUCUGUGCUCUAGAAUUCUCAAAUCUAGACAAUUUCAGAUUUGUUAAUUUCUCACUGUAAAAAAGUUUAUACCUUGUGGUUAGCUUUGACUGAAUGUCUGUCUUGGCAAAAUCACGUUGUUCCACCAUAACUUCAAAAUUGUGUGUUUCUGUUGUUAUAAUUUCGAGUAUUUGGCAGACCAUGACCACUUCUCCCCAAGUGCAAAAACUCCUUAUAUACCUUAAGAGGGGUCUAAAAUUGUGAUGAUUCUUUUGGCCCUUCACUUGCAUUCACUACAAGUGGGGAUUGAGUUUGAAGGGCAGAUGACUUUGAAGGGCACAGAGGCUUCAGCUCCUGAUGUUCCUCCUGAUGAAGGAGUCAGAAGAGAACCUCAGAAAGGGCGAUUGCCCAAUGGGUAUAUGUUCAUCCACUUAUUAGAACUGCCAAUCUGGUUUUACAUUAUGUAUAUUCCUUCUUAUACAUUUAUCUCAUGCUUCAGGAGGACAACUGGUCCAGCACAUCGCUCAUCAAAGGGAAACUGGACUGCAGAAGAGGUAAAGUUAGCACUCUGGUCUCCCAAACUCGCUUACUAUUAUGCUUUCUUAAUAAAAUAAUUUAAAUAGUGAGGUAGCUAGCCUAUCUUUGGUAGCUUUGAGGAAUCCUAUGCUGAACACUUAUUCUUUAUAACAUAAUUUAUACCAGUAGAUAGAGCAGAUAAAUAGCAAAUAGAUAUAGAACUUCUCACCAGACAUUAAUAGUUGAUAAUAGGUAGGGAUUAUUGUUCUGAUUGAUCCCCUUGCUGUAUUUAUUUUCAUUUACAAUAUAGGAGUUAUGUUUUUGGCCCGCUAACUAGAGGAAACCUUCCUUUUGUAAAAUUACAAAUAGAAUAUUAAAGCUAUCGUGUCCACACUUCUCAUGAUCAUUACUAUGCAGAUGAAUUCUCUGAAGUCUGACAGGAGUCAUUCUAAUGUAUAUUAACAUUCCCAAUGAUAUUUUCUGCAUUUUUGCUGCCGAAUACUCUUGAAAUUACACGAGAAAGAUCUAUCACAUCUCAUGAUUAGCAUGCCUAGAAUUUGUUUCUUUGAAUGUGCAUUCUUUGUUUGGAGCAUAUGUAUUGCAAACUGAUAGUUAGCUGCAGUCACACAAGCCACAUUGAUUUGGUGAUAAAUACUGACAUCAGAUGUGAUGGUAUGAUAUCUUUAUUUAAAUGGCACAACCAUCUUAAUCCAGGGAUCAAUAAGGACGCUUGGCCACAAGAAGAGGAAAUCAAGCUCAUCCAUGCUCAUCAAACCUAUGGAAACAAAAUAACCGAUUUAGAAUUAAGAGUAGUACUGAGCUUCAGUCUGUUAGUAAAGCAAAACUGAUUGCAUUAGCUCAGUACAAAACAGAAGUAUGAUGGCAAUAAA